Molecule: ribosomal RNA, 939 nt
Filed under: uncultured euryarchaeote
Lineage: Archaea; Methanobacteriati; Methanobacteriota
Description: bacterial SSU rRNA
Rfam family: Archaeal small subunit ribosomal RNA
Source: RNAcentral
CCUAGGAAACGUGCGGAUUAAGUGUCACCUAAAAGUGACCCUUGCGGUUUGUAAAAAGUACGAGAAUAAGGGGUGGGCAAGACUAGUGCCAGCCUCCGCGGUAAAACUAGCAACCCAAGUGGUGGUCGUUUUUAUUUGGCUUAAAGCGUCCGUAGUCGGAUAUGUAAGUUUUCUGUGAAAUCCUAGCGCUUAACGUUAGGGCUUGCAGAGAAUACUGCUUAUCUUGGAGCCGGGAGAGGUUGGGGGUAUUCCUGGGGUAGCGGCGAAAUGCUAUAAUCCUAGGAGGACCACCGACAGCGAAGGCACCCAACUAGAACGGGCUCGACGAUGAGGGACGAGAGCUAGGGGAGCAAACCGGAUUAGAUACCCGGGUAGUCCUAGCCGUAAACAAUGCAGGCUGUGUGUUUCCUGAACCUCGAGUUCAGGAAGUGCUGAAGGGAAACCGUUAAGCCUGCCGCCUGGGGAGUACGGUCGCAAGGCUGAAACUUAAAGGAAUUGGCGGGGGAGCACCACAAGGGGUGGAGUCUGCGGUUUAAUUGGAUACAACGCCGAGAAACUUACCAGGGGCGACGGCAGUAUGAAGGCCAGAUUAAAGAUCUUGCCGAACGAGCCGAGAGGUAGUGCAUGGCCGUCGUCAGCUCGUACCGUGAGGCGUGCGGUUAAGUCCGUUAACGAGCGAGACCCGUGCUUCUAUUUGCCACUUUCUCCGUAAGGAGGGAGGCACUAUAGGAGGACCGCUGGCGAUGAGUCAGAGGAAGGCGCGGUCGACGAUAGGUCUGUAUGCUCCGAAUCUCCUGGGCUACACGUGGACUACAAUGGCAUGGACAUUGGAUGCACGCCGAAAGGCGAAGCCAUCCCCUAAACCAUGUCUCAGUUCGGAUCGAGGGUUGAAACUCACCCUCGUGAAGGUGAAAUCCCUACACGCUGCCACAUCCACGA